GGGUGCCACAGGGGAUAUUUUGAGACAAUAAUUUACUGUUUUUACAAUCUUACAGACUACAUUCUCAUGGACAGUUUUGUAGUUGAAAGUAAAUGACUCUAAGGCUCUAUUUGAUGCUGAAAAGCUGAAAUCUUCAAGUGGAAUAAUUGUCUUUUUGUGGAAUAACAGCUGCAGAAACAAACACCCAAUAUUGAGCUCAAAUAUGUGGGGUCAAGAAAGUUAUAGGAUAUUAGGAAAAAUAAGGAGUGAGCCAUUAGGUAAAUGUAUAAGAAAGAGAUGUCUGACCUCCUAGCAAGGUGGAAAAAGGCAAAUUAGUGAAAAGAGUUGUGCUGUAUUCAGGAAGGCUCACUAAAACCAGGAAAAGUACACACAGGUAGAGAUUAUUUUAUCCCAAUCACAAGUGGACUAGAGGAACUGAGCUUUUUAAACUUGAAUGUGUGAAUCACCUGGGGAAUCCUGUGAAAAAGCAGAUUGUGACUGAUGAGGUCUGGAUCAGCCCUGAGAUCGGACAAGAAUACCUCAUUAUUCAGAGGAGCUUGUUAAAAAUGCCAAUUCCCAGGCCUAAUCCAAGUCUAUGCAAUCAGAAUCUGAUAGCAAUAUCUCUAGAUGAUUCUUAGGCACAUUCAAGUUUAAGAGGCACUGAAAUUAGAGCUGGGGCUAUUUAUUGAUGGUGAUCAAACUAUUCUAGUUUGCCGAGAACUCUCCCAGUUUUAGCCUGAAAGUCUCCUCUCUGGGGAAUUCCCUGGGCCCCUGACAAAUCAGGACAAGUUAACUGGUCAUGCUAGCUAUUGAUUCCAUAAAUAGGACUGGAGUUUUCUAUGCAUGCUGUGGUGUGUUAAAGGUCAUGACUGUGACAAGUGCAUUAAACAUGUGUUUCCCAGGUUCUGCAGGCUGAAUAGUCUUGAGCAAAUCACUUCUCUUUUCCAAGCUUACUUUCCUUAUAUGUGAAAUUUAAAUGAUACCUACCUCACAGGCUAGUUUUAAGGAUUAAAUGAGUUAUAAUGUAAUUGAGCAUGGACCACAUACAAAAAAAAAAAAAAAAAAGGUUUUAAAGUGUAACAUACUAAUAUUGAAAGUUCUUAUGAAAUAAGGGACUAAGAUCUCUUUGUUAUGGUCAUGCUCUAAGUAUAACUGAUUAUAAUUAUGGAGUCAGGAUUCAACUCAAGAUAGGAAAGAAAAAAAGAAUAAGAAGAAAACAAAAAAAGGAGGGGGAAAAAAUAAAGGAAAUAAUUGUGGUGAGAAGGAUACAGAGGUUAAAAGUACUACUCUAGCAGUAGGUACUAGUCUAGCAUGACUAUUUCUACCAGAGGUUUAGAGAUGACUCAGAUGCUUUCCUUUAAAUAUUGUAUAUGUCUGUUAUUGAGCUAUUAUGGGAGAGUUAAGUAGUUGUGACGGAGGCUGCAUAUCUGGCAAAGCUGAAAAUGUUUACUAUCUAGCCCCACAGAAAAAAAGGUUGCCAACUCCUGAUCUAUGGAAUCUUAGCAAGGCCUCCAAAAAGAUCCUAUGGAACAUUUAGAUUAUGGAUAGGCUUGCCUAUACUUCUACUGUGGUACCAUCCUGUGCUUACUGAUCUAUCUUCCACAGAUGAACUGAAUGGUUAUCGAGGGCAGGAUUCAUGUCGUAUUUACCUUUCAGUCUCCAGAGCCUAACAAAGAAGGUGGUUCAUAAAAGCUGGUCAACACAUGGAUGCUGAACUGAACUGAGCUCCAAGUUGACAUUUAUGUAUAUUAUAUAUUUUAGAUGUAGGGCAGGGCAGUGAACUGGAAGAAUAAUUCAUAUUUCUUUUAAUAGGUACUUGAUCCUCUGGUUAAAGCUGACUUCUGAACUAACAGCUAAUUUGCUAUUUUUAUGUUUUUCAAAUCUACCUAUCUGGCACAUCAAUGAAAGGUAAUUAAAUUAGAGAAGUUCUCCAUUUGAGAGAGAAAGCAUUCUUGCAUCCUCCUGCAAAAUUCAAUGACCUAAAAGCAAAAGGUUGUAUAUAAGAAUAUCAGUUUGGCAAUAAUUUUAAUAUUGGAACAUGUCCAUGUCCAAAGCUUGAACUACCUUAGUUAACAUUACACAUGCCCUUUCAGUAGCUGAUUAGCCAAUGGUAUUCUAAGUAUUUACCAGGUACAAUUCAGAAGCCUAAUUUCUGUAAUGCAUUUAUUAUUCCGUAAAUAAGUCUUAGCCAUUAUUUAAAUUCAUUGCUAUUUUGAUAGCUAUCAUACUAUUUCAAUAUCAGGGAAUAAUAUGGCCAGUGGUACUAAUUAAGGGGUUAUUCUAUGAAUAACUGAUGCAUGUAUUAGUAAGCAUUGAAAGAGAUAUACUUUCUGGAGUUCCCAUCGUGGCUCAGUGGUUAAUGAAUCCAACUAGGAAACAUGAGGUUGUGGGUUCGAUCCCUGGCCUCGUUCAGUGGGUUAAGGAUCCAGUGUUGCUGUGAGAUGUGGUAUAGUUCAUAGACAUGGCUCGGAUCCUGCAUUGCUGUGGCUCCGGCGUAGGCCAGCAGCUACUGCUCCAAUUAGACCCCUUGCCUAGGAACCUCCACAUGCCGUGGGUGCAGACCUAGAAAAGGCAAAAAAACAAAAAAACAAAAAAACAAAAAAAAGGGAGAAAUAUACUUUCUUUGGUAAAUUGGAGUGUACAAAAUUUAACACAUUUCAAAUAAAUCUAACAACUGUCAAGGCCAAGACUCCUUAGGAAAAGCAUGUAUAGUAUAAAAGACAAUCGUAAAAAUAAAUCUUUGGAGAGAAAAUUGAAAAAUAUUUACCUUUUAAACAUGUAAUUUUCUCCCCACUAGCUAUUGUCAUUAGCCUGCUUUUUAAUGUUAAUGAAGUAAACCUAAUUUUGGAAAACUUUUAUAAUUCCAGACCUGUAGGUGAGAGAAAAAUAUAUUACAUUUAUAUUAAAAUCCUAGACAUGAAAUAGAGUAGAGGCCUUAUUAGCUACAUUAUUCUGCUUCAAUUCAAACUAAAGGAAAUAGAAUGUGCUUCCUAAAUUCUGGGAAACUAGUAGUACACUCAUCAACAAAAAAUUGUGUUUAUACUUUUAUUUAAAAAUUUAAUGUUUUGGCUUUUUAUAGUAAUCUUAAAGUUACAAUUUUUAAAUUGGCAUUUCUCAGGCAGGAUGAACUCUACAGGUAGUAAAUUUCCUUAUAAAGGUUUAGUAUUUCUACAGGUUGAUAAAUGGUUUUACUUCUUCUAAUAGAUGAUUAGUCUUCAUUGCUACAAGCAUAAAUACAAUUUGACAAUAGUAUUGCAGGCAGAGUUUUAGCUCUGAACAGCAUAUACAAAUAGAUUAAAAUAUAGGCUUUGCCUGCAGUGGGAGGUGAAUCUUGAUUUAAAAAAAAAAAAAUUGUGCUUUGUCAGACAGGAAAAAUUCUAGCUAGAAAUGAAUUUACCAUGUGUUGAAAUAUUGGUUUACCACGAGUUAUUUGGGCAGACUCUGCUCCAACAUGUAGGUUAUUUCCACUAAGAAAAUUUGUAAGCCGAAUAUAUGUAAUGGUUAUAUUGAUUUGAACAUGAAGUCAAAAUGUAUUAAGAGUUUAAGAUUCUAUUGACUUGCACCAAAAUUCAUUGAUGGAGGGCAAGUGGAAAUCUAAGUGUAGGAUUCACUUUUUGCAGGCUUACCUGUUUAUUGCAGGCCUUUGAAGAAAUCCUUUUCCUUCUUUGAACCUGAGUUUCCUCAGUUGUAAAAGGAGGUGCUUUGCUUAGUAGACAAAUAACAUCUGAAAAAGCUUGUCUGCAAUUUGAAUUCUAAAAAACAACCUGAUUUUGUGUGUUUGCAUAAUGCCUGAUAUACAGUAAGUGCUACAUAAAUGUUUGCUAUUAUUGUUAUUAUUAUAGAAAGCAAAUCAACUAAAUUUCAAUAACCAGAUGCUGGUUUACUUUUGGAGAAGAUUAGAAUAAGAAUAAAGGAGUUUUCAGAUAAUGUCACUCACAUUGACUAGAACUUUUAUGAUACCAAAAUAUAAAGCAUGGAAAUAAUCUUAAUCCAAAGAAACAUAAUUAAACACACUAGUUCUGUUAAUUUCACCGGUCAUCACCAUUUUUGUUUGUUUUACUCCUUUCUCCUUUGAUUGUUUGAUUUUUGUUUAAAUCUCCCUCUCUUUUGUCUUUUACUCUUUCAAUUUAGACUUUCUCUUUUUUCUCUUUUUAUAAUUAUUCACUCUCUUCUUUAAGGAUUAGCAGUUUUUACCUGUCUGCCAUUAUUGCAGAUAACCGCUUGAGGGUACACAUGAAAAUGGAUGAACAAAACAGGCUUUAGAAUGAACUCUCAAUUAUCAAGGCUUUGGUAAUCUUCAACAGGCUGGGUAAUUGUUAGGCAUACAACUCAAGAGGAGGGAGCAGCAGUACUCAGGUAGGCAAUUCCAAAAGCAUUCAGUGUGCACCAACCUUAAUU
This 4377-nucleotide long non-coding RNA is filed under the name Sus scrofa (pig). Its description in RNAcentral is "lncRNA (ENSSSCG00015034879.1)". Lineage: Eukaryota; Metazoa; Chordata; Mammalia; Artiodactyla; Suidae. The record is from RNAcentral.